GAUGAAGAACGUAGCGAAAUGCGAUAAGUAGUGUGAAUUGCAGAAUUCAGUGAAUCAUCGAAUCUUUGAACGCUCAUUGCGCCCAUAGGUAUUCCUUUGGCCAUGCCUGUUCGAGCGUCAUUUACACCCUCAAGCCUAGCUUGGUGUUGGGCGUCUGUCCCGCCGUUUUCGCGCGCGGACUCGCCUCAAAGUCAUUGGCGGCGGUCGUGCCGGCCCCCUCGCGCAGCACAUUUGCGAUUCUCGGAGGCCCGGCGGAUCCGCGCUCCAGCAAGACCUUUCACGACUUGACCUCGGAUCAGGUAGGGAUACCCGCUGAACUUAAGCAUAUCAAUAAGCGGAGGA
Molecule: unclassified non-coding RNA, 342 nt
Filed under: soil metagenome
Description: partial contains 5.8S ribosomal RNA, internal transcribed spacer 2, and large subunit ribosomal RNA
Rfam family: 5.8S ribosomal RNA (bases 1-120)
Source: RNAcentral